This 581-nucleotide ribosomal RNA is filed under the name Aureobasidium pullulans. RNAcentral's name for it is "eukaryotic LSU rRNA". The stretch from base 210 to 363 matches the Rfam family "5.8S ribosomal RNA". The record is from RNAcentral. Lineage: Eukaryota; Fungi; Ascomycota; Dothideomycetes; Dothideales; Saccotheciaceae.
CCGUAGGUGAACCUGCGGAAGGAUCAUUAAAGAGUAAGGGUGCUCAGCGCCCGACCUCCAACCCUUUGUUGUUAAAACUACCUUGUUGCUUUGGCGGGACCGCUCGGUCUCGAGCCGCUGGGGAUUCGUCCCAGGCGAGCGCCCGCCAGAGUUAAACCAAACUCUUGUUAUUUAACCGGUCGUCUGAGUUAAAAUUUUGAAUAAAUCAAAACUUUCAACAACGGAUCUCUUGGUUCUCGCAUCGAUGAAGAACGCAGCGAAAUGCGAUAAGUAAUGUGAAUUGCAGAAUUCAGUGAAUCAUCGAAUCUUUGAACGCACAUUGCGCCCCUUGGUAUUCCGAGGGGCAUGCCUGUUCGAGCGUCAUUACACCACUCAAGCUAUGCUUGGUAUUGGGCGUCGUCCUUAGUUGGGCGCGCCUUAAAGACCUCGGCGAGGCCACUCCGGCUUUAGGCGUAGUAGAAUUUAUUCGAACGUCUGUCAAAGGAGAGGAACUCUGCCGACUGAAACCUUUAUUUUUCUAGGUUGACCUCGGAUCAGGUAGGGAUACCCGCUGAACUUAAGCAUAUCAAUAAGCGGAGGAA